AUGCGCACUUCGGCAGCACAUAUACUAAAAUUGGAACGACACAGAGAAGAUUAGCAUGGCCCCUGCACAAGGAUGACACGCAAAUUCAUGAAGCAUUCCAUAUUAAA
Molecule: small nuclear RNA, 107 nt
Filed under: Chlorocebus sabaeus (green monkey)
Lineage: Eukaryota; Metazoa; Chordata; Mammalia; Primates; Cercopithecidae
Source: RNAcentral